This 2720-nucleotide long non-coding RNA is filed under the name Bemisia tabaci. RNAcentral describes it as "lncRNA ENSASIAIIG000228". The record is from RNAcentral. Lineage: Eukaryota; Metazoa; Arthropoda; Insecta; Hemiptera; Aleyrodidae.
UCUAUAUUCCUCAUCGAUUGCAUGCUUUACAUUGAAAAUCUCAGGAAAUUUUUAUCAAAUUGCAAAGAAAAUUUACACAAAACUUCAAAAGUAAUUUUGAGACACUUCCAGAGUAAAUGAAUGAAUCAUCAAAUUUUGCUACAUGUCAAUGCAAUUACGUUGCUUACUCCUCUCAACGUCAAUCUCCAGUUCGUAAUAACACGAAGGGUUGGCUUUUUAUAACAUUUCAAUUUUUUCCGCCUUCUGGUCAACGAGAGCUCCACCAAUCGCGUGCUUUUAAUUCGCCAUCUACCAUACCGCGCUUGCGGUGGGAAAACUGCGGGCAAUGAAAAUUAAUGCUGCAUUAUUCCGUACUUUAGGAUGCGAGUUGUGGGACCUCUCCUGAAAUGAAUUGUUCAUAAUUUGCAAGAACACAGCCUCGUGUGUCGUAGACCUCAUGAAAUUUCGUGAAAUAUUUCACAAAAUGUCCGUCAUUUCAAAACGUCGCGGCUAAAAGAGCGUCAAAUUGAAAUUGGCGCGUUUAUACAAACAACGUUGAACCAACGACAGUGCACCAACGAUCUCCAUCAUGGCGGUCGCCUUGCGCUCCCCCACGUGUAUCAUUUGUUUUUAAUGUUAUUUUAAGCUUGUCUCAUCAAGUUUAAAUAAAAUAUUGGGUUUUCGAGGGCGGAAACGAUCGCGUUUAUAAUUCUAGGAAUUUUUAGCUGUUUCCUAACCAUCGUGCUUCACUUUAAAUUAGUCUGAUCCCUCCAGAAGUACAAGCAGUUAACCUGGUGUUUUGAACUCAUUCCCUGUCAUUAACAUUUUAAAAAUAUAUGUGAAAACCAUAUUUUUACCCUGUCAAAAUGAAACGAAAAUCUGUUGGUUCAGUUAAUACGCCCUCUAAAGUCAAAAAGGAAGGCAAAGAAAUUACAACACCAAAAUUGAAAGUGAAAGUUGAAGUUGAAGUGGCAACACCUGAAAAUCCCGUUAAAGCAGCAUCUGUAACUAAAACUUCAACAAAAAAGAAGAAUGGCCUGUCACCCAAACCUACUCCAACAAAACUUGUAAAAACUCCCUUGAAAGCUCCAAAGAGCAAUGGAAAAUUGAAACUUUCCCAGUCAGAAAAAGAACUGCCAAAGGGGCAAAAAAAGAAACACUUGAUUGUUGAAAAAAAAUCUGACAAAGAUUUGUUCUCCCUCAAUGGGAUGUCAAAAGAUUUGGAUGUUGUAGAAAAUAUCGAUGAGGAAGAAUUCCUAGAAUCAAGUUCUGAGGAUGAGUCAGAAAAAAGUGGUGAGAGUGAUGAUUCUCUUGCUGAAGAAGAAGAAGAAGAGGAAGAUGAUGAUGAAAAUAGUGAAACUGACGAAGAUUCUGAAUCAGACGAAUUAGUAGAUGAAAAACUAAUAGCUGAUGACAGCUCAGAUGAAGAAGCCGAGACAGAUACUAAAAAGAAAGAUUUUGGGUUCUCUUCUCUCCUAAUUUCAUCCUCAGAAUAUAUCAAGAAGAAAAAAUUUGAGAAAUAUAUCUCUAAGCAAGAUAUCAACAUUACUAGGUGCAUAAAUGUGUAUUCAAAUAAAUUUUUAGUCUGCUGUGAAACACGUGAACAAGCAAAAUCUCUAAUGGCCCCUGGUGUUAAACUGCAGAUCAAAGAAAUGCCAUUAACAGUUUCUAGGCUUCCAUUCUAUGUGGUUCUAGAGAAUCUUCCCAACUAUAUUUCAGCUGAUGAUGUGAAAAAAGCUGUAGCCAGUUGUAUUGAGCAGAACACAAUAAAAAACAUUAUUUUCCUGCAUAUAAACAAGUGUAUUGUUGAAUUUACAACGGAGCAAGCGUUUGAAAAGUUUACAAAAAAGGUGACUAAGCUGAACAUUAGUGGAAAAAUGGUGCGGUUAACUUCUUGGUUGGACAAACUGAUCUAUGAAUAUUCUGCUCGUUGCAUCAAAGUGACUCACCUGCCACCUAAAGCGACUGUUGAAAUUUUGUUCCGGAAGCUGUUGGAGUAUGGAAUUAAAAGUAAAGAAAUUUAUCAAAUUAAAUUCUUCACUCGAUCGGUUUGCUCAGUAUUUUUUGAAAGUGAGGAGACAGAGCAGAAGUUACUAGCAUUGGAUGGUAAAAUGCAGUUUGAGCGAGGACCUGUUUUCAUGAACUUGAGCACCCCUAAAGUUGUUUUACUAGGCCUUCCUCAGAAAGUUUCUGAAAAAUCAGUCAAGGCAAUGCUCAAAAGUCACAAAAUUGAUCCGUCCAAAAUUCAUUCUGUCAAAAUUGAGUGUAAUACUGCCUUGGUCGAGUUGAAAACAAAAGAAGAAGAGCAGAAAGUUUUAGAAUUGGAUAGGGCACUUGAAAUAGGAGGCAUAGCUAUCAAAAUACUUCCAUUGGCCGUUUCAAGGAAAAAUUAUAUCACAUUAGGUCUAUUUAAGCUAAACCCCAGUGUGACUAAAGCUGAUGUGUUAAAAGCCCUGGCAGACGAGGGUCAUAAUUUCGAUGAGGAUGAACUUAAUUUCGAGUUCAGUGAAAAAAAUAGCGUUGUAUUAUUCCAGAAUGGCAGUGAAGAACUCCACAAGAAACUUUCAGAGCUGACGAAACUCAAGAUAGGUGGAUCCUCCAUCAAAGUGACAUUCUGCAAAUUUGGCUCCAGGCACCCCAAUGACUGCGGUCAAAAGCGUAAGCGAGUUCAGAAGAAGAAAAAGAAGAAGAAAUCCAACAAAAAUAAGAAACAAAAGACUGAUGCUGCGGAGAGCGGUUGA